UACGGGGGGGGGCAAGCGUUGUUCGGAAUCACUGGGCGUAAAGGGCGCGUAGGCGGCUUUAUAAGUCGGGGGUGAAAGCCUGUGGCUCAACCACAGAAUUGCCUUCGAUACUGUAGAGCUUGAGACCGGAAGAGGUAAGUGGAACUGCGAGUGUAGAGGUGAAAUUCGUAGAUAUUCGCAAGAACACCAGUGGCGAAGGCGGCUCACUGGCCCGAUACUGACGCUGAGGCACGAAAGCGUGGGGAGCAAACAGG
Molecule: ribosomal RNA, 254 nt
Filed under: uncultured bacterium
Lineage: Bacteria
Description: partial 16S ribosomal RNA
Rfam family: Bacterial small subunit ribosomal RNA
Source: RNAcentral